UGGUAGUAAAACACCGAUUCUCCUCUUGAGACUUAAUUCGAUCUUCAUAGAUUUCUCGAGAUAUUUUCUUACGAAGUUUUGAAAAAAAUUUUCU
This is a long non-coding RNA of Cucurbita moschata (crookneck pumpkin), 94 nucleotides long. RefSeq lists it as uncharacterized. The record is from RefSeq and is a predicted model, not a curated record. The transcript has 3 exons. Lineage: Eukaryota; Viridiplantae; Streptophyta; Magnoliopsida; Cucurbitales; Cucurbitaceae.